CUACGGGAGGCUCCAGUGGGGAAUAUUGCACAAUGGGCGCAAGCCUGAUGCAGCCAUGCCGCGUGUAUGAAGAAGGCCUUCGGGUUGUAAAGUACUUUCAGCGGGGAGGAAGGGAGUAAAGUUAAUACCUUUGCUCAUUGACGUUACCCGCAGAAGAAGCACCGGCUAACUCCGUGCCAGCAGCCGCGGUAAUACGGAGGGUGCAAGCGUUAAUCGGAAUUACUGGGCGUAAAGCGCACGCAGGCGGUUUGUUAAGUCAGAUGUGAAAUCCCCGGGCUCAACCUGGGAACUGCAUCUGAUACUGGCAAGCGUGAGUCUCGUAGAGGGGGGUAGAAUUCCAGGUGUAGCGGUGAAAUGCGCAGAGAUCUGGAGGAAUACCGGUGGCGAAGGCGGCCCCCUAGACGAAGACUGACGCUCAGGUGCGAAAGCGUGGGGAGCAAACAGGAUUAGAUACCCCGGUAGUC
RNAcentral lists this ribosomal RNA (464 nucleotides) under uncultured bacterium. Its description in RNAcentral is "partial 16S ribosomal RNA". It matches the Rfam family "Bacterial small subunit ribosomal RNA", at positions 339 to 795 of the family's 1533-position model. The record is from RNAcentral.